RNAcentral lists this ribosomal RNA (504 nucleotides) under uncultured bacterium. RNAcentral describes it as "partial 16S ribosomal RNA". It matches the Rfam family "Bacterial small subunit ribosomal RNA", at positions 29 to 523 of the family's 1533-position model. The record is from RNAcentral.
AUUGAACGCUGGCGGCAGGUCUAACACAUGCAAGUCGAACGGUAGCACAGAGAGCUUGCUCUCGGGUGACGAGUGGCGGACGGGUGAGUAACGUCUGGGAAACUGCCCGAUGGAGGGGGAUAACUACUGGAAACGGUAGCUAAUACCGCAUAACGUCGCAAGACCAAAGUGGGGGACCUUCGGGCCUCACACCAUCGGAUGUGCCCAGAUGGGAUUAGCUAGUAGGUGGGGUAAUGGCUCACCUAGGCGACGAUCCCUAGCUGGUCUGAGAGGAUGACAAGCCACACUGGAACUGAGAAACGGUCCAGACUCCUGCGGGAGGCAGCAGUGGGGAAUAUUGCACAAUGGGCGCAAGCCUGAUGCAGCCAUGCCGCGUGUAUGAAGAAGGGCUUCGGGUUGUAAAGUACUUUCAGCGGGGAGGAAGGCGGUGAAGUUAAUAGCUUCACCGAUUGACGUUACCCGCAGAAGAAGCACCGGCUAACUCCGUGCCAGCAGCCGCAGAAA